UAGGGAAUCUUCCACAAUGGACGCAAGUCUGAUGGAGCAACGCCGCGUGAGUGAAGAAGGGUUUCGGCUCGUAAAGCUCUGUUGUUAACGAAGAACGUGGGUAAGAGUAACUGUUUACCCAGUGACGGUAUUUAACCAGAAAGCCACGGCUAACUACGUGACAG
This 164-nucleotide ribosomal RNA is filed under the name uncultured bacterium. RNAcentral's name for it is "partial 16S rRNA". It matches the Rfam family "Bacterial small subunit ribosomal RNA", at positions 355 to 511 of the family's 1533-position model. The record is from RNAcentral.